UAAUACGUAGGGGGCGAGCGUUGUCCGGAUUUACUGGGCGUAAAGCGCGUGUAGGCGGUACUCUAAGUCCGGGGUGAAAUCCGGGGGCUUAACCCCCGAACGGCGCCGGAAACUGGGGUGCUUGGGUGUCGGAGAGGGGAGUGGAAUUCUCGGUGUAGCGGUGAAAUGCGUAGAGAUCGAGAGGAACACCCGUGGCGAAGGCGGCUCCCUGGCCGAACACUGACGCUGAGACGCGAAAGCGUGGGGAGCGAACGG
RNAcentral lists this ribosomal RNA (255 nucleotides) under uncultured prokaryote. RNAcentral describes it as "partial 16S ribosomal RNA". It matches the Rfam family "Bacterial small subunit ribosomal RNA", at positions 521 to 775 of the family's 1533-position model. The record is from RNAcentral.